Molecule: ribosomal RNA, 403 nt
Filed under: bacterium
Lineage: Bacteria
Description: partial 16S ribosomal RNA
Rfam family: Bacterial small subunit ribosomal RNA
Source: RNAcentral
UGGGGAAUAUUGCACAAUGGGGGAAACCCUGAUGCAGCGACGCCGCGUGAACGAAGAAGGUAUUCGUAUCGUAAAGUUCUGUCCUAUGGGAAGAUAAUGACAGUACCAUAGAAGAAAGCUCCGGCUAAAUACGUGCCAGCAGCCGCGGUAAUACGUAUGGAGCGAGCGUUGUCCGGAAUGAUUGGGCGUAAAGGGUACGCAGGCGGUUUAAUAAGUCGAAUGUUAAAGAUCGGGGCUCAACCCCGUAAAGCAUUGGAAACUGAUAAACUAGAGUAGUGGAGAGGAAAGUGGAAUUCCUAGUGUAGUGGUGAAAUGCGUAGAUAUUAGGAGGGAAACCAGAAGAGAAGGCGACUUUGUGGACACAAACUGAAGCUGCGGUACGAAAGCGUAGGGAGCAAACAGG